RNAcentral lists this long non-coding RNA (202 nucleotides) under Fukomys damarensis (Damara mole-rat). Its description in RNAcentral is "lncRNA (ENSFDAG00000032725.1)". Lineage: Eukaryota; Metazoa; Chordata; Mammalia; Rodentia; Bathyergidae. The record is from RNAcentral.
GAAGUAAGGAUAUUUAAAUAUUGAAAUAAUGGUUAAUAUGUGAUUGCAUUUCUCUAGAAAGAAUACAGGAAUUUGGAGUAGAUAUGGAAGAGACCUUACUCACCUAACAGCUCCCUUGUUCAGUACUCAGAAAAUUCCUGUCAAGUCAUGAAGGGGAAGAGGAAUGACACAAUUAUGUGCAACAGAAAACAAAUUGAAAGCC